RNAcentral lists this microRNA precursor (122 nucleotides) under Gossypium hirsutum (cotton). RNAcentral describes it as "MIR7504 microRNA precursor family". It matches the Rfam family "MIR7504 microRNA precursor family". Lineage: Eukaryota; Viridiplantae; Streptophyta; Magnoliopsida; Malvales; Malvaceae. The record is from Rfam by way of RNAcentral.
GAUAGGAGAAUGACAAAUUAUAUUUUUCUUCCUAAUUUUCAGCUUACUCCCCUAAAAAAAUUCAAAUCUAACUAAAAAUGCUAAAAUUAAGAGGAAAAAAUAUGAUUUGUCAUUUUCCUAUU